CCAGAGAACUUAGCAGAGAUGCUUUGGUGCCUUCGGGAACUCUGAGACAGGUGCUGCAUGGCUGUCGUCAGCUCGUGUUGUGAAAUGUUGGGUUAAGUCCCGCAACGAGCGCAACCCUUAUCCUUUGUUGCCAGCGAUUCGGUCGGGAACUCAAAGGAGACUGCCGGUGAUAAACCGGAGGAAGGUGGGGAUGACGUCAAGUCAUCAUGGCCCUUACGGCCAGGGCUACACACGUGCUACAAUGGCGCAUACAAAGAGAAGCGACCUCGCGAGAGCAAGCGGACCUCAUAAAGUGCGUCGUAGUCCGGAUUGGAGUCUGCAACUCGACUCCAUGAAGUCGGAAUCGCUAGUAAUCGUAGAUCAGAAUGCUACGGUGAAUACGUUCCCGGGCCUUGUACACAUCGCCCGUCACACCAUGGGAGUGGGUUGCAAAAGAAGUAGGUAGCUUAACCUUCGGGAGGGCGCUUACCACUUUGUGAUUCAUGACUGGGGUGAAGUCGUAACAAGGUAAGCGUACGUGU
This 521-nucleotide ribosomal RNA is filed under the name uncultured bacterium. RNAcentral describes it as "bacterial SSU rRNA". It matches the Rfam family "Bacterial small subunit ribosomal RNA", at positions 988 to 1509 of the family's 1533-position model. The record is from RNAcentral.